Non-coding RNA from Erinaceus europaeus (western European hedgehog), 79 nucleotides. The record is from Rfam. Lineage: Eukaryota; Metazoa; Chordata; Mammalia; Eulipotyphla; Erinaceidae.
UGCCACUGAUGACAAUUUAUUUGCUACUCUUGACCAUAAGAUGAUGAGAGUUAAUACCACCAUUAUCAUAACUGAGGCA